Molecule: ribosomal RNA, 533 nt
Filed under: uncultured rumen bacterium
Lineage: Bacteria
Description: bacterial SSU rRNA
Rfam family: Bacterial small subunit ribosomal RNA
Source: RNAcentral
UAACACAUGCAAGUCGAACGAAGCACCUCUAAUCGAAGAUUGAUAAAGCUUGCUUUUGAUUGAUUCACCUUGAGGUGACUGAGUGGCGGACGGGUGAGUAACGCGUGGGUAACCUACCCUAUACAGGGGGAUAACAGUUGGAAACGACUGCUAAUACCGCAUAAGCGCACGAAGGCCGCAUGGUCUGGUGUGAAAAACUCCGGUGGUAUAGGAUGGACCCGCGUCUGAUUAGCUAGUUGGUGAGGUAACGGCUCACCAAGGCGACGAUCAGUAGCCGACCUGAGAGGGUGACCGGCCACAUUGGGACUGAGACACGGCCCAAACUCCUACGGGAGGCAGCAGUGGGGAAUAUUGCACAAUGGGCGAAAGCCUGAUGCAGCGACGCCGCGUGAACGAAGAAGUAUUUCGGUAUGUAAAGUUCUAUCAGCAGGGAAGAAAAAUGACGGUACCUGACUAAGAAGCUCCGGCUAAAUACGUGCCAGCAGCCGCGGUAAUACGUAUGGAGCAAGCGUUAUCCGGAUUUACUGGGUGUA